This 116-nucleotide ribosomal RNA is filed under the name Bacillus carboniphilus. Lineage: Bacteria; Bacillati; Bacillota; Bacilli; Caryophanales; Bacillaceae. The record is from RNAcentral.
CCUGGUAAUAAGGGCAAAGAGGCCACACCCGUUCCCAUGCCGAACACGGAAGUUAAGCUCUUUAGCGCCGAUGGUAGUUGGGGGUCUCCCCCUGUGAGAGUAGGACGUUGCCAGGC